GUCUCUCCACUGUACUCUCGCGGCCUCGCCUCUCGCCUCCCUCCUCGCCUCUCGUCUCUCGUCUCUCGUCUCUCGCCUCUCCUUCUCAUUCUCCGUUCCACUUCACCCUAAAUCCCUCAUCCCUAAAUUACUCGCCGUUCCUCGCCGUUUCUCGCCAUUCCUCGCCGUUCCUCGCCGUUUCUCGCCAUUCCUCGCCGUUCCUCGCCGUUCCUCGCCGUUCUUCACCGUUUCUCGCCGUUCCUCGCCGUUCUCGUAAACCACCGUUCCUGUUCUUCUUCCAGAUUUUUUAUGAUUCACCGUUCAUCUAACAUCAUAUAGGUGGCCAAGGUUACCAGGCCUCACGGUAACAGUGGUGUUGUUCGUGCGAAGUUCAAGUCAAACCUGCCGCCUAAAUCUAUGGGUUCGAGAGUAAGAGUUUUCAUGUACCCCAGAAACAUUUAAGUUGUUCAGGACCUAUGGUUGACAGAGAUUGGUCACUUGGGAGGGGAUUUAUGUUUUAUGAACCAAGUUUUCAAGUGUCUUGUUUGUUUAGAGCUGAAUCAAUUUUGUUUGGUUUAGGAUGUUUAAUGGAGCAUUGUUCAAAACACUACAAGUUAAGUGAAUGCGCUUAUAUUUUGUUUAGCUUUUCUGCAAUUUAAUGGAGCAUUG
Morus notabilis is the source of this 648-nucleotide long non-coding RNA. RefSeq lists it as uncharacterized. NCBI's taxonomy places the organism in Eukaryota, Viridiplantae, Streptophyta, Magnoliopsida, Rosales, Moraceae. The transcript is spliced from 3 exons. The record is from RefSeq and is a predicted model, not a curated record.